RNAcentral lists this ribosomal RNA (444 nucleotides) under uncultured bacterium. RNAcentral describes it as "partial 16S ribosomal RNA". It matches the Rfam family "Bacterial small subunit ribosomal RNA", at positions 331 to 792 of the family's 1533-position model. The record is from RNAcentral.
CCAGACUCCUACGGGAGGCAGCAGUGGGGAAUAUUGCACAAUGGGGGAAACCCUGAUGCAGCGACGCCGCGUGAGCGAAGAAGUACCUCGGUAUGUAAAGCUCUAUCAGCAGGGAAGAAGAUGACGGUACCUGACCAAGAAGCUCCGGCUAAAUACGUGCCAGCAGCCGCGGUAAUACGUAUGGAGCAAGCGUUAUCCGGAUUUACUGGGUGUAAAGGGAGCGCAGGCGGCCUUGCAAGUCUGAUGUGAAAGGCCGGGGCCCAACCCCGGGACUGCAUUGGAAACUGCGAGGCUGGAGUGUCGGAGAGGCAGGCGGAAUUCCUAGUGUAGCGGUGAAAUGCGUAGAUAUUAGGAGGAACACCAGUGGCGAAGGCGGCCUGCUGGACGAUGACUGACGCUGAGGCUCGAAAGCGUGGGGAGCAAACAGGAUUAGAUACCCCAGUA